RNAcentral lists this ribosomal RNA (424 nucleotides) under Rhampholeon tilburyi (Mount Namuli pygmy chameleon). RNAcentral's name for it is "partial large subunit ribosomal RNA". It matches the Rfam family "Bacterial large subunit ribosomal RNA", at positions 1970 to 2620 of the family's 2925-position model. Lineage: Eukaryota; Metazoa; Chordata; Lepidosauria; Squamata; Chamaeleonidae. The record is from RNAcentral.
UGUCCCUUAAAUGAGGACUCGUAUGAAAGGCAACACGAGAGAAAACCUGUCUCCUAAGAUUAGCCAAUGAAAUUGAACUGCCAGUACAAAAGCUGGCAUACCAAAGCAAGACAAAAAGACCCUGUGGAACUUAAAUAGCCUGUUUACAAAAACUAAACAAUAAUUUUAGUUGGGACAACUUUAGAAAAAACUAACCUCUAACACCCCCCAAGACCAACAAGUCUAAGGCACGAAGCCGACCCAGUCACACUGAUUAAUGAAAUAAGCUACCCCAGGGAUAACAGCGCCACCUUCUCAAAAAGUCCUUAUUAACAAGAAGAUCUACGACCUCGAUGUUGGAUCGGGGUACCCCGACGGUGCAACCGCUGUCAAAGGUUCGUUUGUUCAACGACUAACACCCCACGUGAUCUGAGUUCAGACCGGA